This is a long non-coding RNA of Serinus canaria (Common canary), 1095 nucleotides long. RefSeq lists it as uncharacterized. The record is from RefSeq and is a predicted model, not a curated record. NCBI's taxonomy places the organism in Eukaryota, Metazoa, Chordata, Aves, Passeriformes, Fringillidae. The transcript is spliced from 3 exons.
UUUUGGGUUUGUUUUGGGGUUUUUUACUAACAAAGCUGAUAGAGGAGGUGCUCACCCCCUCCAGCCCCAGCUCCUGCAGCACUCCCAGGCUCCAGCUUUGCCUUGGCUGCUGGUCUCCAUAAAUCUCCAGUUCCUGUGGAAAUCAGGGGGAUCCAUCCAAGGGAUCCAGCAGAGGUAUUGGGCAAAGCCUGGUCCAGGUGUCAGGGAAUCCUGGGAUGAGCUGGUGCUGAAACCAAACCACUUCCUCUGCCUCUUCACAGUUAUUCCAUCAUUGCUUCUCCUGCUUCUCCAACACCAGGAAUCCUUCUCUCCUGCUCUGUGCCCUCAUCACUUUCACACCCUGGAAUUGUGUGAAUCUUCUCCCCUGUUUUUUUUGUACAAAUUGUGGAGAGAAGGCACUUUAGGCUGGACUAAGCAGAGCCUGGACAUUGGAGCAAUUCCAGAGCAGGAGAAUCCCAGGACCAGGAACCAGGAGUUUUCCAGGCUCUUGGAGAGUAUUUCCAUGGCUGUGACUAAGGGAGCCUGUGGGGCACGUGGAGCUGUGGAGGAUGAAAUUCCAAUAAUAACAAUAAUUAAUAACAAAAAUCAACAACAAUAAUAUUUUAUAUAAUAAUAACAUUUAUAUAAUAUAUAAUAAAAUAUGUAAUAUAUAUAACGCAAUACAAUAAUACCCCCCAAACCCCCCAAUUAAUUUCCCACCAUUUUGUUCUUCCAUCAGUUACACCCCAGCUUUCCCUGCCCAAAUCCCUCCCUUCUGAUCCAGGCCCUGAUAUCCAUUUACUCCUAAAAACCAGAAGAACAAACAUUUUGGGAAGCCUGACCCCUCCCAGGCCCCCCAUGGCCCCGCUCCCAUGAUGGAAUUCCAUUGCAAUUAUUGGCCUCAUUUCAUAUUUUAAUGUAAUUACGCUCAGCCUUUGCUCUAAUAAAUGCCUGAGCCAGGAAUUCAGACAAGAAAUUCAGACACUCUGAGCCUGCUGAGGGAAAGGUGAGGGUGCUCACACAGCUCUGCUCCCAAAUCAAUACAGAAUACAUUCAUAAAUUAACAAUCAUUCCAGAGCCAAACACUCAUUGCUGGAGGAACACUGCAUAAUUAAA